AUUGAACGCUGGCGGCAUGCCUAACACAUGCAAGUCGAACGGCAGCACAGCAGUAGCAAUACUGUGGGUGGCGAGUGGCGGACGGGUGAGGAAUACGUCGGAAUCUGCCCAGUCGUGGGGGAUAACUAGCCGAAAGGUUAGCUAAUACCGCAUACGACCGAGAGGUGAAAGCGGGGGACCGCAAGGCCUCGCGCGAUUGGAUGAGCCGACGUCGGAUUAGCUAGUUGGCGUGGUAAAGGCCCACCAAGGCGACGAUCCGUAGCUGGUCUGAGAGGAUGAUCAGCCACACUGGAACUGAGACACGGUCCAGACUCCUACGGGAGGCAGCAGUGGGGAAUAUUGGACAAUGGGCGCAAGCCUGAUCCAGCAAUGCCGCGUGUGUGAAGAAGGCCUCGG
This 396-nucleotide ribosomal RNA is filed under the name uncultured bacterium. RNAcentral's name for it is "bacterial SSU rRNA". It matches the Rfam family "Bacterial small subunit ribosomal RNA", at positions 29 to 420 of the family's 1533-position model. The record is from RNAcentral.